RNAcentral lists this ribosomal RNA (275 nucleotides) under uncultured bacterium. Its description in RNAcentral is "partial 16S ribosomal RNA". It matches the Rfam family "Bacterial small subunit ribosomal RNA", at positions 338 to 606 of the family's 1533-position model. The record is from RNAcentral.
CCUACGGGUGGCUGCAGUGGGGAAUCUUGCGCAAUGGGCGAAAGCCUGACGCAGCGACGCCGCGUGAGUGAUGAAGGCCUUCGGGUUGUAAAGCUCUGUGGGGAGGGAAGAAUAAGUUCAAGCUAAUACCUUGAGCGAUGACGGUACCUCCUUAGCAAGCACCGGCUAACUCUGUGCCAGCAGCCGCGGUAAUACAGAGGGUGCAAACGUUGUUCGGAAUUACUGGGCGUAAAGCGCGUGUAGGCGGCUUCGAAAGUCGGAUGUGAAAUCCCGCG